Molecule: ribosomal RNA, 119 nt
Filed under: Histophilus somni
Lineage: Bacteria; Pseudomonadati; Pseudomonadota; Gammaproteobacteria; Pasteurellales; Pasteurellaceae
Source: RNAcentral
UUUUGGCAGUCAUAGUGCAAUGGAACCACCUAACUCCUUGCCGAACUUAGAAGUGAAACGUUGUUACGCCGAUGGUAGUGUGGGGAUUCCCCAUGUGAGAGUAGGUCACUGCCAAAUAU